CGAACGGCACCUAUCUUCGGAUAGAAGCGAGCGGCGAACGGCCGAGUAACACGUGGAGAACCUGCCCCCUCCCCCGGGAUAGCCGCCCGAAAGGACGGGUAAUACCGGAUACCCCGGGGUGCCGCAUGGCACCCCGGCUAAAGCCCCGACGGGAGGGGAUGGCUCCGCGGCCCAUCAGGUAGACGGCGGGGUGACGGCCCACCGUGCCGACAACGGGUAGCCGGGUUGAGAGACCGACCGGCCAGAUUGGGACUGAGACACGGCCCAG
This 268-nucleotide ribosomal RNA is filed under the name uncultured bacterium. RNAcentral's name for it is "partial 16S ribosomal RNA". It matches the Rfam family "Bacterial small subunit ribosomal RNA", at positions 63 to 334 of the family's 1533-position model. The record is from RNAcentral.